RNAcentral lists this ribosomal RNA (283 nucleotides) under Bacillus subtilis. RNAcentral's name for it is "partial 16S ribosomal RNA". It matches the Rfam family "Bacterial small subunit ribosomal RNA", at positions 50 to 312 of the family's 1533-position model. The record is from RNAcentral. Lineage: Bacteria; Bacillati; Bacillota; Bacilli; Caryophanales; Bacillaceae.
GGGGCUGCUAUACAUGCAAGUCGAGCGAAUGGAUUAAGAGCUUGCUCUUAUGAAGUUAGCGGCGGACGGGUGAGUAACACGUGGGUAACCUGCCCAUAAGACUGGGAUAACUCCGGGAAACCGGGGCUAAUACCGGAUAACAUUUUAAACCGCAUGGUUCGAAAUUGAAAGGCGGCUUCGGCUGUCACUUAUGGAUGGACCCGCGUCGCAUAAGCUAGUUGGUGAGGUAACGGCUCACCAAGGCGACAAUGCGUAGCCGACCUCGAUAGGGUGACCGGCCGAG